AGCGUACACGGUGGAUGCCCUGGCAGUCAGAGGCGAUGAAGGACGUGCUAAUCUGCGAUAAGCGUCGGUGAGGUGAUAUGAACCGUUAUAACCGGCGAUUUCCGAAUGGGGAAACCCAGUGUGUUUCGACACACUAUCAUUAACUGAAUCCAUAGGUUAAUGAGGCGAACCGGGGGAACUGAAACAUCUAAGUACCCCGAGGAAAAGAAAUCAACCGAGAUUCCCCCAGUAGCGGCGAGCGAACGGGGAGGAGCCCAGAGCCUGAAUCAGUGUGUGUGUUAGUGGAAGCGUCUGGAAAGGCGUGCGAUACAGGGUGACAGCCCCGUACACAAAAAUGCACAUAUUGUGAGCUCGAUGAGUAGGGCGGGACACGUGGUAUCCUGUCUGAAUAUGGGGGGACCAUCCUCCAAGGCUAAAUACUCCUGACUGACCGAUAGUGAACCAGUACCGUGAGGGAAAGGCGAAAAGAACCCCGGCGAGGGGAGUGAAAAAGAACCUGAAACCGUGUACGUACAAGCAGUGGGAGCCUCUUAAUGGGGUGACUGCGUACCUUUUGUAUAAUGGGUCAGCGACUUAUAUUCUGUAGCAAGGUUAACCGAAUAGGGGAGCCGAAGGGAAAACGUCGAGUCUUAACUGGGCGUUAAGUUGCAGGGUAUAGACCCGAAACCCGGUGAUCUAGCCAUGGGCAGGUUGAAGGUUGGGUAACACUAACUGGAGGACCGAACCGACUAAUGUUGAAAAAUUAGCGGAUGACUUGUGGCUGGGGGUGAAAGGCCAAUCAAACCGGGAGAUAGCUGGUUCUCCCCGAAAGCUAUUUAGGUAGCGCCUCGUGAAUUCAUCUCCGGGGGUAGAGCACUGUUUCGGCAAGGGGGUCAUCCCGACUUACCAACCCGAUGCAAACUGCGAAUACCGGAGAAUGUUAUCACGGGAGACACACGGCGGGUGCUAACGUCCGUCGUGAAGAGGGAAACAACCCAGACCGCCAGCUAAGGUCCCAAAGUCAUGGUUAAGUGGGAAACGAUGUGGGAAGGCCCAGACAGCCAGGAUGUUGGCUUAGAAGCAGCCAUCAUUUAAAGAAAGCGUAAUAGCUCACUGGUCGAGUCGGCCUGCGCGGAAGAUGUAACGGGGCUAAACCAUGCACCGAAGCUGCGGCAGCGACACUAUGUGUUGUUGGGUAGGGGAGCGUUCUGUAAGCCUGUGAAGGUGGCCUGUGAGGGUUGCUGGAGGUAUCAGAAGUGCGAAUGCUGACAUAAGUAACGAUAAAGCGGGUGAAAAGCCCGCUCGCCGGAAGACCAAGGGUUCCUGUCCAACGUUAAUCGGGGCAGGGUGAGUCGACCCCUAAGGCGAGGCCGAAAGGCGUAGUCGAUGGGAAACAGGUUAAUAUUCCUGUACUUGGUGUUACUGCGAAGGGGGGACGGAGAAGGCUAUGUUGGCCGGGCGACGGUUGUCCCGGUUUAAGCGUGUAGGCUGGUUUUCCAGGCAAAUCCGGAAAACCAAGGCUGAGGCGUGAUGACGAGGCACUACGGUGCUGAAGCGACAAAUGCCCUGCUUCCAGGAAAAGCCUCUAAGCAUCAGGUAACAUCAAAUCGUACCCCAAACCGACACAGGUGGUCAGGUAGAGAAUACCAAGGCGCUUGAGAGAACUCGGGUGAAGGAACUAGGCAAAAUGGUGCCGUAACUUCGGGAGAAGGCACGCUGAUAUGUAGGUGAAGCGACUUGCUCGUGGAGCUGAAAUCAGUCGAAGAUACCAGCUGGCUGCAACUGUUUAUUAAAAACACAGCACUGUGCAAACACGAAAGUGGACGUAUACGGUGUGACGUGCCCGGUGCCGGAAGGUUAAUUGAUGGGGUUAGCGGCAACGCGAAGCUCUUGAUCGAAGCCCCGGUAAACGGCGGCCGUAACUAUAACGGUCCUAAGGUAGCGAAAUUCCUUGUCGGGUAAGUUCCGACCUGCACGAAUGGCGUAAUGAUGGCCAGGCUGUCUCCACCCGAGACUCAGUGAAAUUGAACUCGCUGUGAAGAUGCAGUGUACCCGCGGCAAGACGGAAAGACCCCGUGAACCUUUACUAUAGCUUGACACUGAACAUUGAGCCUUGAUGUGUAGGAUAGGUGGGAGGCUUUGAAGUGUGGACGCCAGUCUGCAUGGAGCCGACCUUGAAAUACCACCCUUUAAUGUUUGAUGUUCUAACGUUGGCCCGUAAUCCGGGUUGCGGACAGUGUCUGGUGGGUAGUUUGACUGGGGCGGUCUCCUCCUAAAGAGUAACGGAGGAGCACGAAGGUUGGCUAAUCCUGGUCGGACAUCAGGAGGUUAGUGCAAUGGCAUAAGCCAGCUUGACUGCGAGCGUGACGGCGCGAGCAGGUGCGAAAGCAGGUCAUAGUGAUCCGGUGGUUCUGAAUGGAAGGGCCAUCGCUCAACGGAUAAAAGGUACUCCGGGGAUAACAGGCUGAUACCGCCCAAGAGUUCAUAUCGACGGCGGUGUUUGGCACCUCGAUGUCGGCUCAUCACAUCCUGGGGCUGAAGUAGGUCCCAAGGGUAUGGCUGUUCGCCAUUUAAAGUGGUACGCGAGCUGGGUUUAGAACGUCGUGAGACAGUUCGGUCCCUAUCUGCCGUGGGCGCUGGAGAACUGAGGGGGGCUGCUCCUAGUACGAGAGGACCGGAGUGGACGCAUCACUGGUGUUCGGGUUGUCAUGCCAAUGGCACUGCCCGGUAGCUAAAUGCGGAAGAGAUAAGUGCUGAAAGCAUCUAAGCACGAAACUUGCCCCGAGAUGAGUUCU
Molecule: ribosomal RNA, 2774 nt
Filed under: Escherichia coli TOP291
Lineage: Bacteria; Pseudomonadati; Pseudomonadota; Gammaproteobacteria; Enterobacterales; Enterobacteriaceae
Description: bacterial LSU rRNA
Rfam family: Bacterial large subunit ribosomal RNA
Source: RNAcentral